Molecule: ribosomal RNA, 853 nt
Filed under: uncultured Chloroflexota bacterium
Lineage: Bacteria; Bacillati; Chloroflexota
Description: SSU rRNA
Rfam family: Bacterial small subunit ribosomal RNA
Source: RNAcentral
CGAACGCNGGCGGUGCGCCUAACGCAUGCAAGUCGAACGAGAAAGGUAGCUUCGGUUACCAAGUAAAGUGGCAAACGGCUGAGUAACACGUAAGUAAUCUGCCCCGGAGCGGGGGACAAUCACGAGAAAUCGUGCCUAAUACCCCGUACGUCCCAGCGAGCACGCUUGCUGGGGGAAAGACUUCGGUCGCUCUGGGAGGAGCUUGCGGCCUAUCAGGUUGUUGGUGGGGUAAUGGCCUACCAAGCCUAAGACGGGUACCCGGUGUGAGAGCACGAACGGGCAGAGGGGGACUGAGACACGGCCCCCACUCCUACGGGAGGCAGCAGCGGGGAAUAUUGCGCAAUGGGCGAAAGCCUGACGCAGCGACACCGCGUGGAGGAUGACGGCUUUCGAGUUGUAAACUCCUUUUCUCAGGGAAGAGAACGGACGGUACCUGAGGAAUAAGCAUCGGCUAACUACGUGCCAGCAGCCGCGGUAAUACGUAGGAUGCGAGCGUUGUCCGGAUUUACUGGGCGUAAAGGACGAGUAGGCGGCCCACCAAGUCUCAUGUGAAAUCUCCUGGCUUAACUGGGAGCGGUCAUGGGAAACUGGUAGGCUUGAGGUCAGCAGAGGAAAGCGGAAUUCCCGGAGUAGCGGUGGAAUGCGUAGAUACCGGGAGGAACACCAGAGGCGAAGGCGGCUUUCUGGGCUGCACCUGACGCUGAGGCGUGAAAGCAUGGGGAGCGAACCGGAUUAGAUACCCGGGUAGUCCAUGCCCUAAACGAUGGAUACUAGAUAUUGGGGGUAUCGACCCCCUCAGUGUCGUAGUUAACGCGAUAAGUAUCCCGCCUGGGGAGUACGGCCGCAAGGCUAA